AUGAACGCUGGCGGCGUGCUUAACACAUGCAAGUCGAACGGGGAACAAAUUAUUGAAGCUUCGGCAGAUCUAGCUUGUUCCUAGUGGCGGACGGGUGAGUAACGCGUGGGUAACCUGCCUCGCACUGGGGGAUAACAGUCAGAAAUGGCUGCUAAUACCGCAUAAGCGCACAGUACCGCAUGGUACAGUGUGAAAAACUCCGGUGGUGUGAGAUGGACCCGCGUUGGAUUAGCUAGUUGGCAGGGCAGCGGCCUACCAAGGCGACGAUCCAUAGCCGGCCUGAGAGGGUGAACGGCCACAUUGGGACUGAGACACGGCCCAGACUCCUACGGGAGGCAGCAGUGGGGAAUAUUGCACAAUGGGGGAAACCCUGAUGCAGCGACGCCGCGUGAAGGAAGAAGUAUCUCGGUAUGUAAACUUCUAUCAGCAGGGAAGAAA
This 438-nucleotide ribosomal RNA is filed under the name uncultured bacterium. RNAcentral describes it as "bacterial SSU rRNA". It matches the Rfam family "Bacterial small subunit ribosomal RNA", at positions 29 to 450 of the family's 1533-position model. The record is from RNAcentral.